CUAGAGUCCUGUGGUGCUCAUGAAACCUGACGAAGGUGCCAGGAGCUGAGGGUGAGGGACGUCCGUGAGUGGAGGAAACUGCUGGAGGGUACACUGUAGCAAAACUGGAGAGUAAACCAAGAAAGAGGAAGACAAAUUAUCCAGGAAAUGCGAUCCCAAAGACAAGAUAAUCAAGCACAUCAAGAUUAUAGCAAGGAGAGACUUCCCAUACCAACAGCCAGGAAUCCAGGCUGAAGCAGGAGGAUGGAAAUCUUUCUGAAAAACAAGAAACUGUACAUCAUUUGGAAGAAGUUGGAAGAACCAGCGACAUCGUCCCAUCAAAGCUGCCUCCAUUUCCGUCUCCUUGUUUAUGUGGGUAAGUUGUCUUGACAUUUAUAUCUAUACAAAUAAAAAAAAAGCAGGGAUAAAAUUCAUGUUGAACUCUGGCUCAU
RNAcentral lists this long non-coding RNA (431 nucleotides) under Homo sapiens (human). Its description in RNAcentral is "HSALNT0300327". Lineage: Eukaryota; Metazoa; Chordata; Mammalia; Primates; Hominidae. The record is from RNAcentral.